UUAAGUUAUUAAGGGCGCACGGUGGAUGCCUUGGCACUAGAAGCCGAUGAAGGACGUUACUAACGACGAUAUGCUUUGGGGAGCUGUAAGUAAGCUUUGAUCCAGAGAUUUCCGAAUGGGGAAACCCAGCAUGAGUUAUGUCAUGUUAUCGAUAUGUGAAUACAUAGCAUAUCAGAAGGCACACCCGGAGAACUGAAACAUCUUAGUACCCGGAGGAAGAGAAAGAAAAUUCGAUUCCCUUAGUAGCGGCGAGCGAAACGGGAAGAGCCCAAACCAAAAAGCUUGCUUGUUGGGGUUGUAGGACACUCUAUACGGAGUUACAAAGGACGACAUUAGACGAAUCAUCUGGAAAGAUGAAUCAAAGAAGGUAAUAAUCCUGUAGUCGAAAAUGUUGUCUCUCUUGAGUGGAUCCUGAGUACGACGGAGCACGUGAAAUUCCGUCGGAAUCUGGGAGAACCAUCUCCUAAGGCUAAAUACUCUCUAGUGACCGAUAGUGAACCAGUACCGUGAGGGAAAGGUGAAAAGCACCCCGGAAGGGGAGUGAAAUAGAACCUGAAACCGUGUGCUUACAAGUAGUCAGAGCCCGUUAAUGGGUGAUGGCGUGCCUUUUGUAGAAUGAACCGGCGAGUUACGAUUUGAUGCAAGGUUAAGCAGUAAAUGUGGAGCCGUAGCGAAAGCGAGUCUGAAUAGGGCGUUUAGUAUUUGGUCGUAGACCCGAAACCAGGUGAUCUACCCUUGGUCAGGUUGAAGUUCAGGUAACACUGAAUGGAGGACCGAACCGACUUACGUUGAAAAGUGAGCGGAUGAACUGAGGGUAGCGGAGAAAUUCCAAUCGAACCUGGAGAUAGCUGGUUCUCUCCGAAAUAGCUUUAGGGCUAGCCUCAAGUGAUGAUUAUUGGAGGUAGAGCACUGUUUGGACGAGGGGCCCCUCUCGGGUUACCGAAUUCAGACAAACUCCGAAUGCCAAUUAAUUUAACUUGGGAGUCAGAACAUGGGUGAUAAGGUCCGUGUUCGAAAGGGAAACAGCCCAGACCACCAGCUAAGGUCCCAAAAUAUAUGUUAAGUGGAAAAGGAUGUGGCGUUGCCCAGACAACUAGGAUGUUGGCUUAGAAGCAGCCAUCAUUUAAAGAGUGCGUAAUAGCUCACUAGUCGAGUGACACUGCGCCGAAAAUGUACCGGGGCUAAACAUAUUACCGAAGCUGUGGAUUGUCCUUUGGACAAUGGUAGGAGAGCGUUCUAAGGGCGUUGAAGCAUGAUCGUAAGGACAUGUGGAGCGCUUAGAAGUGAGAAUGCCGGUGUGAGUAGCGAAAGACGGGUGAGAAUCCCGUCCACCGAUUGACUAAGGUUUCCAGAGGAAGGCUCGUCCGCUCUGGGUUAGUCGGGUCCUAAGCUGAGGCCGACAGGCGUAGGCGAUGGAUAACAGGUUGAUAUUCCUGUACCACCUAUAAUCGUUUUAAUCGAUGGGGGGACGCAGUAGGAUAGGCGAAGCGUGCGAUUGGAUUGCACGUCUAAGCAGUAAGGCUGAGUAUUAGGCAAAUCCGGUACUCGUUAAGGCUGAGCUGUGAUGGGGAGAAGACAUUGAGUCUUCGAGUCGUUGAUUUCACACUGCCGAGAAAAGCCUCUAGAUAGAAAAUAGGUGCCCGUACCGCAAACCGACACAGGUAGUCAAGAUGAGAAUUCUAAGGUGAGCGAGCGAACUCUCGUUAAGGAACUCGGCAAAAUGACCCCGUAACUUCGGGAGAAGGGGUGCUCUUUAGGGUUAACGCCCAGAAGAGCCGCAGUGAAUAGGCCCAAGCGACUGUUUAUCAAAAACACAGGUCUCUGCUAAACCGUAAGGUGAUGUAUAGGGGCUGACGCCUGCCCGGUGCUGGAAGGUUAAGAGGAGUGGUUAGCUUCUGCGAAGCUACGAAUCGAAGCCCCAGUAAACGGCGGCCGUAACUAUAACGGUCCUAAGGUAGCGAAAUUCCUUGUCGGGUAAGUUCCGACCCGCACGAAAGGCGUAACGAUUUGGGCACUGUCUCAACGAGAGACUCGGUGAAAUCAUAGUACCUGUGAAGAUGCAGGUUACCCGCGACAGGACGGAAAGACCCCGUGGAGCUUUACUGUAGCCUGAUAUUGAAAUUCGGCACAGCUUGUACAGGAUAGGUAGGAGCCUUUGAAACGUGAGCGCUAGCUUACGUGGAGGCGCUGGUGGGAUACUACCCUAGCUGUGUUGGCUUUCUAACCCGCACCACUUAUCGUGGUGGGAGACAGUGUCAGGCGGGCAGUUUGACUGGGGCGGUCGCCUCCUAAAAGGUAACGGAGGCGCUCAAAGGUUCCCUCAGAAUGGUUGGAAAUCAUUCAUAGAGUGUAAAGGCAUAAGGGAGCUUGACUGCGAGACCUACAAGUCGAGCAGGGUCGAAAGACGGACUUAGUGAUCCGGUGGUUCCGCAUGGAAGGGCCAUCGCUCAACGGAUAAAAGCUACCCCGGGGAUAACAGGCUUAUCUCCCCCAAGAGUUCACAUCGACGGGGAGGUUUGGCACCUCGAUGUCGGCUCAUCGCAUCCUGGGGCUGUAGUCGGUCCCAAGGGUUGGGCUGUUCGCCCAUUAAAGCGGUACGCGAGCUGGGUUCAGAACGUCGUGAGACAGUUCGGUCCCUAUCCGUCGUGGGCGUAGGAAAUUUGAGAGGAGCUGUCCUUAGUACGAGAGGACCGGGAUGGACAUACCUCUGGUGUACCAGUUGUCGUGCCAACGGCAUAGCUGGGUAGCUAUGUGUGGACGGGAUAAGUGCUGAAAGCAUCUAAGCAUGAAGCCCCCCUCAAGAUGAGAUUUCCCAACUUCGGUUAUAAGAUCCCUCAAAGAUGAUGAGGUUAAUAGGUUCGAGGUGGAAGCAUGGUGACAUGUGGAGCUGACGAAUACUAAUCGAUCGAAGACUUAAUCAA
Molecule: ribosomal RNA, 2921 nt
Filed under: Staphylococcus aureus T57397
Lineage: Bacteria; Bacillati; Bacillota; Bacilli; Caryophanales; Staphylococcaceae
Description: bacterial LSU rRNA
Rfam family: Bacterial large subunit ribosomal RNA
Source: RNAcentral